AGCUCCAAUAGCGUAUAUUAAUGUUGUUGCGGUUAAAAAGCUCGUAGUUGGAUCUCCUGGGCCGAUGCACGGUCUUGUCGAUUGACAGGACUGUCGUCUGGCCUUGACAGCGAGCCGUCGGGUCUAGUGCUCUUGACCGAGUGUUAGUUCCGCGGCUCAAUUGUACUUUGAAUAAUGGAAUAGGACGUCGUUUCUAUUUUGUUGGUUUCUCGAAAUCGACGUAAUGAUCAAUAGGGACAGUUGGGGGCAUUAGUAUUGAAGCGACAGAGGUGAAAUUCUUGGACCGCUUCAAGACUCACUACUGCGAAAGCAUUUGCCAAGAAUGUUUUCA
This 331-nucleotide ribosomal RNA is filed under the name uncultured eukaryote. RNAcentral's name for it is "SSU rRNA". It matches the Rfam family "Eukaryotic small subunit ribosomal RNA", at positions 587 to 972 of the family's 1831-position model. The record is from RNAcentral.